Molecule: unclassified non-coding RNA, 365 nt
Filed under: uncultured bacterium
Lineage: Bacteria
Description: contains 16S-23S intergenic spacer region
Source: RNAcentral
UCCGGCGAAUGCCGGCAGUCCCGCCAGACAAAUCUAACUGGCAGUGAGGGUUUCGCUCGUUUACCCACUUAAGGGCACAGCUCACGCCACGAGCUGACGACAGCCGUGCAACACCUGUCAUCCCGCUCCCUUACGGGCACGGCCCUAUUUCUAGGGCUUUCGGGAGAUGUCAAGGCCUGGUAAGGUUCUCCGGUUAUCGUCGAAUUAAACCACAUGCUCCACCGCUUGUGCGAUCCCCCGUCAAUUCCUUUAUGUUUUAGCCUUGCGGCCGUACUUCACAGGCGGCACACUUAACGCGUUAGCUUCGCUACAAGAAGGGUCGAUGCUUCUGAUAGCUAGUGUGCAUCGUUUACGGCGUGGACUAC